RNAcentral lists this transfer RNA (73 nucleotides) under Paramuricea clavata. It matches the Rfam family "tRNA". Rfam says of the family: Transfer RNA (tRNA) molecules are approximately 80 nucleotides in length. Their secondary structure includes four short double-helical elements and three loops (D, anti-codon, and T loops). Further hydrogen bonds mediate the characteristic L-shaped molecular structure. tRNAs have two regions of fundamental functional importance: the anti-codon, which is responsible for specific mRNA codon recognition, and the 3' end, to which the tRNAs corresponding amino acid is attached (by aminoacyl-tRNA synthetases). tRNAs cope with the degeneracy of the genetic code in two manners: having more than one tRNA (with a specific anti-codon) for a particular amino acid; and 'wobble' base-pairing, i.e. permitting non-standard base-pairing at the 3rd anti-codon position. Lineage: Eukaryota; Metazoa; Cnidaria; Anthozoa; Malacalcyonacea; Plexauridae. The record is from Rfam by way of RNAcentral.
GGCCGCAUAACUCAGUUGGCAGAGCAUUGGACUUGUAUUCCAAAGGUCGUAGGUUCGAUUCCCACCGUCGCCA